UGGGGCAGAUGAUUAGGGUGAAGUCGUAACAAGGUAGCCGUAGGAGAACCUGCGGCUGGAUCACCUCCUUUCUAAGGAAUAA
RNAcentral lists this ribosomal RNA (82 nucleotides) under Secundilactobacillus angelensis. RNAcentral's name for it is "Lactobacillus sp. LC28-10 partial 16S ribosomal RNA". The stretch from base 1 to 71 matches the Rfam family "Bacterial small subunit ribosomal RNA", at positions 1463 to 1533 of the family's 1533-position model. Lineage: Bacteria; Bacillati; Bacillota; Bacilli; Lactobacillales; Lactobacillaceae. The record is from RNAcentral.